Molecule: ribosomal RNA, 253 nt
Filed under: uncultured bacterium
Lineage: Bacteria
Description: partial 16S ribosomal RNA
Rfam family: Bacterial small subunit ribosomal RNA
Source: RNAcentral
UACGAAGGGGGCUAGCGUUGUUCGGAAUUACUGGGCGUAAAGCGUGCGCAGGCGGCUCAUCAAGUCAGAGGUGAAAGCCCAGGGCUCAACCCUGGAAUUGCCUUUGAAACUGGUGGGCUUGAGUGCGGGAGAGGUGAGUGGAAUUCCCAGUGUAGAGGUGAAAUUCGUAGAUAUUGGGAAGAACACCGGUGGCGAAGGCGGCCAUCUGGACUGCAACUGACGCUGAGGCGCGAAAGCGUGGGGAGCAAACAGG